AGCAUUUUGCUGUUUGGGAGGACCCAUUCAAGAAACCUAGCUAUCUUUUUGCCUUAGUUGCAGGACAAUUAGAGAGCCGAGAUGACACUUUCACAACAUGCUCGAGUCACAAAGUUGCUUUAAGAAUAUGGACCUCACCACAAGAUCUCUCAAAAACCGAACACGCCGUGUAUUCUCUCAAAGCCGCCAUGAAAUGGGAUGAAGAUGUUCGUUCUUCUUUCCAUAUACUCAUUUUGUCUUUUUUUUUCUUACAUCUUCACUUAAGAGCGUUUUUGUCUUUUCAUCUCUUACUUUAGGUUUUCGGGCGAGAGUAUGAUCUUGAUCUCUUCAACAUCGUGGUUGUUUCCGAUUUCUUGUAAGCGAAUUUUUUUUAUUUGUCCGGAUUUUAUUUCUUUACUUACAUUUUAAUUGGUUUUAAAUUGACAGGGAGCCAUGGAAAACAAGAGCUUGAAUGUAUGUGUAUAGACAUGUAGUAGUAAAUUAUAUAGCUAUAAAGUCUAUAAACUUUUUUUUCCAAAUAAAAAAAUGUUUUUUAUUAAUGUUUUUUUUUUCAUUUUUUAAUAGAUUUUCAAUUCUAAGCUUAUUCUGGCAUCAACGGAGACUGCAUCAGAUGCAGAUUAUGCUGCAAUUUUGGGUGUUAUUGGUCAUGAGGUUUGAGAUUUUUUAUUCAUUUGGUCCUUUUUUUAAAGAAAAAUUAUAUCACUUAAUUGCUUAAAUAAUAACCUGUAUGUAUACCCUUCUAUAUAUUGUAGUAUUUCCAUAACUGGACUGGCAACAGGUUCGCUUAUGUGAUUUUUAUUGAUUAUAUUCUAAAAAAUAUGAAAUACCUUUCUAAUUUUUAUAUACCUUUAUAGAGUGACAUGUCGUGAUUGGUUCCAAUUGAGUUUGAAGGAAGGUCUUACCGUUUUUCGUGAUCAAGUAAGAUCUUGUUGCAGAAUUUAAAAAAAAUAUAUUAUAUUUAUAUCAUUAAUACGUGUUUAAUGAUUAUAACAUGUUUUGCAGGAAUUUUCAUUUGAUUUAGGUAGUCGUACAGUUAAGAGAAUCGGUGAUGUUUCAAAGCUUUGUACAUACCAAUUUUCACGGGUUUUCAUCUUUAAUCUAAUUGGACAUCAAUUAAAUAUUGUUUUUAUUUUUCCUUUUUAUAAUAAUUGUAGUAAACAUUGUCUUUUCUAGGAUGCGGGACCCAUGGCUCACCCUGUUAGGCCCCACUCUUACAUUAAGGUUUAUAAUUCAUUUACGUUUUUUAAACCUCUCUUUUUUCUAUUAAAGCUUCAAAACUUACCCUCUACUUUCAAUUGUUUUUCUUUUCCCUCCUCUAGGUGGACAAUUUCUAUACAUCAACGGUAUGGUUCUGAUAUAUUCACCCUUGGUUUACUCUUAGUUUUAUUUCGACAUGAAUAAACAAAAAGAUGAUAAAUUAGGAAUUCCUAUUUUUUGUGUAAUUUAUAUUUACAGGUGUACGAAAAGAGUGCUGAAGUUGUCCGCAUGUACAAAACUUUAUUGGGAAGUGAAGGGUUUCGGAAGGUAAUAGAUUUUUAUAAGGAAAAAGUUGGAGGUAAUGAAGUGCAGAACUAUUAUUUGGUAGAAUUUUACAAAAGACAAUACUAUAAUAGAAAAAACGAGAGUGGGACGCUAUAAUACUGAAACAAAUGAAAGAAUGUUGCAAUUUUUUUUUGCGUUUAGCACUUAGUUUUAUUGUAAAAUCAAUGUUUGUUGUUUUAGGGAACAAAUUUGUACUUUGAAAGGCACGAUGGGCAAGCAGUAACUUGUGAAGAUUUCUUUCUUGCUAUGCGAGAUGCUAACAAUGUGGAUUUUGCUAAUUUCUUAUUAUGGUAUUUCACUUUUACUACCUUUAUUUUUACAAUCUUUGUUAAAAAAUUCAUUAUGUUAACAAUCAUGACUUGUGUUUAGGUAUUCACAAGCUGGUACCCCUGUUGUGAAAGUUACAUCUUCUUACAAUGUUGAAGCUCAUACAUUUUCUUUGAAGUUUAGGUGAGGUUUUAAGACAUUCUAUGCAUUGGAUUGAGACUGAUAUAUAAUGGGACAAAAAGUAUAAGUUUUUGUCAUAUCCACCCAAAAAGGUUGAGCGUAACCGAUGUUAAUGGGACAAAAUUAUAUUUUUUGUCUCACCCAAAAAGAAAUCAUGUGGGGCUAAGGUUAAAUUACCAUUGUAAUUUUUUUUUCAGUCAAACGGUGCCACCUACGCCAGGUCAGCCUAUAAAAGAGCCAAUGUUCAUUCUUGUAGCUAUGGGGCUUCUUGAUUCAAGUGGGAAAGACAUGCCAUUAUCAUCUUUCUAUCAAGAUGGGAAGUUAGUGUCCAUCACAUCUAGUGGUCAGCCUGUCUACACUACAGUUCUCAGGGUUACAAAGGUAAUUUUACACUUCGUAAGGGCCCUGAAAACUUUUAUAAGUUAUACAUCUUACAAACUAAAUCAUUUUUGUGUCUUAAAUUUAGGCUGAAGAAGAAUUUGUAUUCCAUGGCGUGGCUGAAAAACCGAUUCCAUCACUGUUAAGGGGUUAUAGUGCUCCUAUUCACCUACACUCUGAUCUUACAGAAAACGAUUUGUUUUUCCUUCUUGCUCAUGAUUCAGAUGAAUUUAAUCGGUAAGAAAUUGCAACGUACUUUCAUAUAAUUGUGUGUUAUAGCAUUCUACUUUCAUUUCUUUAUAUCACAUGAUUGUAUUUUUAGUUUUUUCUUAUUAAGGCAUUGUAAAAUAGGGUGAUCUUUUCAAAAUACAAUGUUGUAAUAGAAUAAAUGAAAUAAUGAUGUUAUAAUAAACAAGUUAUUUGUUGGAUUUAACCCGUAUUAUCAUUGCAGACACUCUACUAUUCUGUAGUAAAUUAGUAAUACACCAUCAUACGUUUACGUGACACUUUAAAGAAACCAUUUUUCCAGUUAUCAACUUUUGAGAAAGGACAAAACACAAAAGAAUAUAAUGUUAUGUAGUUUCACCAUUUUAUUGAUUUAGCUAUUGAACUAUUAUUACUAUUGCAGUUGGGAAGGUGGACAAAUAUUGGCAAGGAAACUGAUGCUCAACCAAGUUGUUAACUUUCAAAAAUAUAAUAAAUUGGUUCUUGAUCCACAAUUUGUGCAUGGUAUCAAAUGUAUUCUUUUGGAUUCGAGUCUAGACAAGGUAUUUUUCUUGAAUGAUUUUUUAGUUCGUAUAGUUUUCAAUAUUCGAGGUAAUUGAACACUAAAUCGAUUCGUUUAUAUUUAGGAAUUUAUUGCAAAAGCAAUAACACUCCCUAGUGAAGGCGAAAUUAUGGACAUGAUGGAAGUAGCAGACCCUGAUGUUGUUCAUGUUGUUCGAUCUUUUAUCAGAAAGCAGCUUGCUUUGGAGUUGAAGCAAGAAUUCAUAAACUUGGUAAAAAUAUGCCUCCUACCUACCCCCACCCCCUUUGAAUUGUGAACAUUGUGUUAGUUAAUGCUGACAUUUUUUAUAGGUGAAAGAAAACAGGAGCUCGGAGAAGUAUAAGUUUGAUCAUGUGAAUAUGGCAAGACGUACUCUUAAGAACACAGCCCUUGGUAUUAUUUUUUCUCUUUUUUUGUUGAUAGUGGUUUGGUAAAUGCAAGAAAUAGCAACAUUUUCAUUUAUUUUUUUAUUUAAUUUCCUCCUAUUAAAAUGAUAUAUGUUGAAAACUCUAACCAAUUAUACAAAUGCCAACCAACCACAUCAUUUUUUAUAACAGGGUAGGUUUUUUUCAAAUUAAAGUGUCUUUAUAUUUUUUAUUUUUCACAUGCAAUGCUAUAGUUUGAUAGAAUUUUUGAAGUACAAUGUCCUGAUAAGAAGAAAAAGUUAUAAGUACAAUGUUAUAAUAGGGUAGAAUUUUGGAAGUAUAAUGCCUUAAUCAAAAUCAAAAGUACAAUUUAAUAGUCGAAAGAAAUUAAAGUAGGAUGUUAUAAGUACCAUAAACAAAUAAACGAAAGUAUGUUGUUAUUUCUUGCAUUUAUCCCUUUUUUAUAUUGACAAGUGUUGAUGUUUAUGAUUUUGACUUUUUUUUUUUGGAAAAAAAGGAUAUCUUGCAUCUCUUGAAGAUGAAGAAAUGAGUGAGCUUGUGUUGAAUGAAUACAAAAGUGCAGGAAAUAUGACAGAUCAAUUCUCAGCUCUUACAACCAUCGCUCAAAAACCAGGUAAUGCCCGUGAAGAUGCUUUGGCUGACUUUUAUAACAAAUGGCACCAUGACUUCCUGGUAAAAUUUUGUUUUAUGUAAUUUAAUUUGGAUAUAUUAAAGUAAAAAAGGGAUCUUUUUUAUAUGUUGGUUUUGUUUUCUUGAUUUUUCAGGUGGUUAACAAGUGGCUUUCGCUUCAAUCUGCAUCGGAUAUUCUUGGGAACGUUGAGAACGUUAAGAAACUUUUGGAUCAUCUAUCAUUUGACCUAACAAAUGCCAACAAGGUCAGAACUCUAGUCUCAUUUUGGUCACCAUUUUUUGUAUGGGAAUAUGAGCUGGUUUGAGUUUAUAUAUGAAUGAUAAGGACCAAUUGGGUAGAAUUUGAAGAAAAAGAAAACAAUUACUGAAAAAAUAAACGGGUUUCAAUGAUUUAAAAGUUGAAGCAUACUCUAAUGGUGUGUUUAGUUGGAAAGAAUGAAAUGGACAAGGUAAUGGAAUGAGGAAUUACAUUCAAAUGUCUAGUACGCUUGUUGGUUAGCAUGUAGGAAUGGAAUGAUUUUUUAUAUGAAUUUUUUAUUAUAUUUAAACAUUAUAUAUUAUCUUAAACUACUUUAUACAUGUUGUAAUUAUAAACUAAAUAAAUUCAUAAUAAAAGAUGAUUAAAACCCAAUCCCAAUUAAGGCUACAAUAAGAAUUAUUAAAAUUGAAUAUCACUGUUUUGAUGAUAGCUUUUGUGAUUGCAUUUAAUAUAUUAAAUGUGAUUAUGUAUUUUCUUGAACUUUGAUUUUGGACAGAUGUUUUCACUUAUUGGAGGAUUUCGUUCAUCAUAUGUUAACUUCCAUGCUAAAGAUGGUUCAGGUUACAAAUUCGUGGGAGACCUUGUUCUACAGCUUGACAAACUAAACCCUCAGGUGAAAAUAACUUAAUUACCUUUUUUAUUUUUCUUUGUUUGGGUCAGAUCGAAAUAAGAAUUUUAAGAUACCCUUAAAUUAUAUACAACAUUUUACAAUAGGGAUAGAUGCAAGAAAAAACGAAUUGCAACGUACUUUCUUUGUUGUAGUUGUUUGCUUACAUUUCUUUAUAUUGCAACAUUGUAUUUUAGUUUUUUUUCUUAUUGGACAUUAUACUCUGAAAAUUGCUUUGUAUUUUGAUGACAUCGUUAUACUUGGUAGAUUUUCAAAUUACAAUGUCUUAAUAAGAAAAAAAAAAUUGAAAGUAAAUUCCUAUAAUUAGGUAGAUUGUAUAAAGUACAAUGUUAUAGUAGGGAGAACUGAAAGUAGGAUGGUAUAUAAUGAUCAAAAAAACAAAACUAUGUUGCCAUCUCCUGCAUCUAACCAUUUAACAAUACAAAACUUAUGGGGUCGUUGAAGUUACCAUUUUACCCUUGUCUUGAUCCAGAUGGCAUCUGGGGUGGUCUCAUCCUUUUCUAGAUGGAAGCGCUAUGACGAUACCCGCCAAAAUCUUGCCAAGGUAAUGAGUCUUGACCUUUAAUUAUCAUAUGAUAUAAUAAACAAAAAAUAAUAAAUUUAAAGUAUGUUGCUAAUUCUUGACGAAAAUGGAAAAUCAGGCACAACUGGAGAUGAUUGUGUCGGCUAAUGGGCUCUCAGAGAACGUAUAUGAAAUCGCCUUAAAGAGUUUGGCUUAGAAUCUAUAUUUUUUUAUCAAGAAUCAAAGUGGUAAUCACAUAAACAUGAAUUAUAAUAAUGGUAAAUGGCAAGAACGUGAAUAAUUUUACAAAAAAUUUCCUAUAUUUUGUUCAAGAUCUUUAGGUGAAAAAGAAAUGCUAUUUUCUUGGUUUAGUCCUUUUGUUCUUAUUUUUAAAAUAAUUAUAAUACAUUAUAAUCUUAUUGAAUUGAUCACUUUAACAAUAAAAAAACAAGGUAUAUUGUUUUACAAAGUGUGUCAUGUAUAAUAUAUGUGAUGAAUUAUGUAUCACGGUUAGAGGGGAUACAUUUGAAAAAAGUCAUCAAACCUUGUAAAUGGAGAUGGUUUUGCUUGGUUUGGUUUUGAUCGAUAUCAUAAUUGGUCGAGUAUAGUGUGAAAAUGGACAAAACUUUCUACUAGUUCUUACAUAUUAAAAGAUGGAUACAAUAAGAGAAGGCAGUGUAAUGCUUUUGUGAUGAAAGACUCUGAUAGUUUGCAUAGAACAAAAGUAUUUGUUCUUCAUGUGUGAUGUAACAAUUCAUACAAUACGGGCUAGGGAUCUUAUUUGUACUAAGAAAAACCAAUCAACAUGUUAUCAAUUGAACAAAAAAAUUGGUAGUUAGUAUUGUAUUAUUGUUUGAUAUCAUAGAAAACCCUUGUAUGGUUUAUGCUUGUAUCGAUCUCAAUAUAAAAAAAUGUGAAUCAAUUUUUACAUGCUUAGUAUGUUGGUGUUGUAUUGGGUUUGAAUCUAAAUUCAUGGUACUAACAUUAUCACAAAAAACAACAGUGGCUCAGAAAAGUGAACAAGAAAGCUUGAGUUGAAGAUUUUUAAGGCAACCAACUUUUGGCACAACAUUAGCUACCCCUAAUACUCAAACUCGACACUGAAACGGGAAAAAACAUGUUGUCAUUUGGAGGACCAGGAGCUUAUCAUCAAGAUAUAUGUAUAACCUAAAGGAGGAUCUUAUCAUCAAGAUAUAUGUUUAACCUAAAGGUGGACUGAAAUGUCAUGGAGCUACCAACCAAAUCAACAUCUGAAUAUGAGACCAAGUGGUCGAUGAAUAGCAGAAGAAUGUCAAUGUCGUGCAUCAAAGUGCCUUUGAGGUACCGUAGGAUGCGUUUGAGAGUGAUGAAGUGCAUAACAUGGAGGACAAACUUCUUAGACAACAUAAGAUAUAUCCGGAUGAGUGAAUGCCAAAUAUUAUAAAGCUCCAAAAAAGCUACGCGCUUGGGGUUAGAGAUCAUAUAUCCAACAUUGGAAAGCUUGGGUUUCAUGCCAGUGGGGGUACUACAUGGGUUACACGUGGUUAUGUCAACACACACAGGAAUCUCUUAAGCAAAAGCAACACGGGACAAAAAAAUUUCCCUUGGAGCUGGGAGAGGCAGAAAUGCCAGGACUAGGAUAAUGGACCAAAAUCACACAUAGGAAAUGAUAAAGAUAGACGCGAUAUGACUAUAUUGAUGAGAAAGGACAGGAGGUAGUAUGUAACAUCCCAAAAACCAUAGUAAAAAAUUUGAUUUAUCAAAAGUCAUUUUCAUAAAAACCAUAAGUCAUACAAAACAUUGUCUCUAAAACAUAGUCAUAAAAAUUAGAGUAUUCAAUAACAUCUCUCAACAUAAAUCCAUAUGAUGAUAUGUACAAUCAUGUCUUCGCCUUUCUCUGAUCAUCCGAAGUACCUGAAAAAUUUAAACCCACAACUGUAAGCCAGAGCUUAGAGAGUGCCCCCGAAAUACCCCACACAACAAUACACAUACAACACAUGCACACAUGACGCCUCGCAAGGCCUACAAGAUACUAGAUCGCUCUACUGAGCAUACAGUCUACUGGACCGCCUCGUAAUGCCUACUGAAGCUGGACCGCCUCGCAAGGCUUACCGUACACCUGGACUGCCCAAUUAUCUUGGCCUACAGCACAAAGCAGGUUCGCCUCAACCCAACCACAAUAUGUCGAUAUAUGCAAACAAACAAACAAUAAAGUUAAUCAUAACAUAUCUACCAAUCUACUCGAUCAUUACAACAUACCAACAUCCUACACACAAAUAUACAUACUGUAGUACAAAGUGUAAUGAAAGAACUCACCUUACAACAUAACAGAUAAGAGUACAACUCACGCAAUCCAAUAAUUGGUACUACGAGUCACAUAUAAAACAACCAGGGACCAAUUCUCAAUCCAAAGCCCAAACCCCUUAAGUUGACCAAAAGCGAACUUGGUCAAAAAGUCAACGGUAAAAUCUCCAUCAAUUGGUCACCAUGUCGUGGCCAAGAUUUUUCCCCGCAAUGGUGACCUCACAACAAAACAGUCGCGAAGACCACCUAACACCACGUCUUAGGAACUAAACCUCCACGUCAUGGGAACUGUUAUGGCCAUCUUAAUGUAUUAAACUCUUAAUCCUUCAAGUUACCCAUCCAUACUUCCCAGAAGGCUUUCAGUACCGCUUACCACCCUCAGACGGACAGACAUAGUGAGCAGACGAUUCAGACACUUGAGGAUAUGCUUCGGUCAUGUGUGUUGGACUUCGGAGGGAGUUGGGACACGUAUAUGCCAUUGGCUGAGUUUUCUUAUAACAACAGCCACCAUUCGAGCAUUGGUAUGCCUCCCUUCGAGUUGUUGUAUGGGAAGAGGUGUCGGAAUCCCAUCUGUUGGGGAGAGGUAGGGCAGCGAGUGAUGGGCAGCAUUGAGAUAGUGCUUCAGACGACAGAGCAGAUACAACAGGUUAGACAGAGGUUGCUGACGGCCCAGAGUCGCCAGAAGAGUUACGCGGAUAGGCGACGAUCCGAGCUCGAGUUUCAGGUUGGAGAUUUUGUACUCCUGAAGGUGUCUCCUUGGAAAGGAGUGAUCCGAUUCAGGAAAAGGGGAAAGUUGGGGCCCCGGUACAUUGGACCGUUUAGGGUGAUCGCGAGGGUGGGCAGGGUAGCAUAUCGUUUGGAGCUACCUGCAGAGUUGAGCCAAAUUCAUGAUACCUUCCACGUGUCUCAACUGAGGAAGUGUAUAGCCGACGAGUCGGCAGUGGUGUCGUAGGAGGAUAUCCAGGUGGACGCAAGUCUGGAUUAUGUUGAGAGAUCGAUCGCGAUCUUGGACUGAAAGGUCAAGGUUCUGAGAAACAAGGAGGUGCCUCUAGUUCAGGUCUAGUGGCAGCAUCGUAGGGGGUCCAAGCUAACUUGGGAGCCGGAGUCAGAGAUACGGGAGCAACAUCCAGAGUUGUUUUCGGCAUGAGACUUCGAGGGCGAAGUCUGGUUCUAGUGGGGGAGAAUUGCAACAUCCCAAAAUUCAGGUAAAUCUAUUUAACCCUUCUCUUUUGUCAAGUUGUCAAGUUUAGCCCUUGAGUGAAUUUUGUGGCAAUUGAGUACGCUAGGUGUACUGGGGAGUACGCUGCGUGUACUCAUGCGCUUAAUUUGGACGUCGACUCGCCUAGGUACGGUGGGCGUACCCAGGGUUACGCUGGGCGUAGAGGGCCCAGAUGCAAACGCUAAUAUUUGGCUUGUGCACUAUAUAAGGGAUGCUAAGGCUUAUUCCUCAACCACCAUAUCAUAGAGUGAAACCCUAAGAGAGCCUUCCUUCGUCCUUAAGCUUGUGUGUGAGUGUUUUGAGCUAAAAGUGCCUUGGUGUGUUAGUGAAGAAGAAGGAGAGGAGGUUGUGGAGGCUAGGGCUUGAAGUGCAAGUUUGGAUAUGAGAUCUUCAGAGGAAGGAGCUUCAUCUAGAGGUAUAAAGUUCAAAACUUUCCACUUUAUUUUGGUUUGGUGUUGCAUGGACCAUUUCUAGGGUUAAAAGUCCCAAAGGUGGAGACUUUAUGAGUGUAAGAGACUCCAUGGACCUAGAUCUGUCCCAUUUCAGUGAUAUUUGUGUUAAAGAUCCAUAAAAAUCCCAACUUGGUCAUUGUUAUGGGGUCAUGCUUGAGUUAUGAGCUUUUAUAGGGUUGGAAAUAGAAUGUUAUGGGUGUUAGUGACUUGUCCAGCCAUGCAAAGGCUUAAAGUCACCAACUUUAUGGAUUAAGAGGCUUAGAAAUGGUCAGAUCUAGAAGUUGGACGUGUGUCUUAACUGUUUAAGACCCCAAUAGCUAAGGAGUCUGAAAUCGGGAGUUACGCGGGGCGUAAUCCCUGUACGCGCGGCGUAGGGGGUCGCGUUCCCGUUUAAAUGAGGUCACCAGGUACGCCCAGCGUACAGGUUUGGUACGCGCAACGUAACCCGAAGAGUUGACUUUUGUUGACUUUUAGGGUUUGAUCAACUUUAGGGUCUUUGAGCCAUGAGAGGGGUAAAAUGGUCUUUUACCCUUAUGAGGGUGCUAAGAAAGGGAAUAGUCCAGCCUUGAGAGUGGUAUUAAUUAUAGUGCUUAUUCCAUGUGAUUAGGCGGAGGCUAGACCGAGUUUUACCGAGUUCGAGAUUAUCGAGUCACCCGAGGUGAGUCUUCUCACUAUACUGUACCUAGAAAGGUACCUAUGUGUGACCGGAAGGUCUUAUAUGCUAUGAGAUAUAUGUGAUAUAUGCUGAUAUGUGAUAUGUAUGUGUUAUGUAUGCUAUGUAUGAUAAUGACCGGAAGGUCAAGAUGAUAUGGACCGGAAGGUCGAGAGGACAUGGACCGGAAGGUCAGGAGGUUACGGACCGGAAGGUCGAUAUGGGUAGGACCGGAAGGUCUACCGAGAUUUGGGACGGAAGUCCCCCGAGACACUUGGACCGGAGGGUCACACAGAGUUAUGGCCUAGAAAGGUGUAUGUGUUGUAUGUGGUACUUUGGGGAACUCACUAAACAUUUAUGCAUACAGUGUUGUGUUAUGUGUUUCAGGUACUAGUGAGGAUCGCGGGAAGAAGUCGACAUGAUCCGCACACACUGAGAGGAUUUAUGUAUUUGAGAUCUUUUGAGAUUCUGAGAUUUGUUUAUUAUGAUGACAUUGGAUACAGUUGUUGGAUAUUGUUUUUGGUGAUUGAAAAUAUGAUUUAAAAAUGAAAAUUUGUUUUGAAAAAUUUGUCGUUACAAGAGUUUUCCCAGAAACAUAAAGAAAUCAUGAGGAGUUGUAUGAUCAGCCUUCGCCUUGCUGCGAUCCGCUGAUGUAACUGAAACAAUAAACUGAAACUGUAAGCCCGAAAGCUUAGUGAGUUCCCCCAAAAUACCAACGCCAUACAAAUAUAACCACUUCAUAUAACAAACACAGAAUAGCAUGCAUAAUGAGCCUUCAGCCUGACUGGACUGCCUCGCAAGGCCUACAGCCUAUCUGGACCGCUCCCGAGCCUUCUGCAUGACUGGAUCGCCUCACAUGGCCUACAGCCUAUCCGGACCGCUCACCGGGUAUGUUGGCCUACAACACAAAGCAGGACCGCCUCAACCCAACCCCCACUCAAACAAACAAGUGCACAUAAAUAUCAUACGCUAGCUCAUAUCAUAUAACAGUCAAACUGAUCUAACAUAUCACUAUUCAUAGCAACAUCCCAAUAACCGGGAUACAGACCUAACCAGUCACUAACAUAACAUCAUCCUAUAACCAAGACACUGACCUAACCAGGUCACUAAGCAUAAGCAUACCACAUCCUAACUACCAGGAUGUAAUCAAUAAACAUAUCAUGCCAUAAUCCAAAUACAAAUAUAUAAAGGGUCGGCCUUGGUGCCUUAAACCCAUUGGUAUAGUGAGGAUAACUCACCUCGCACUGUCGACUCAAAGAUAAACUCAAGCUCUUGGAGUGCCGGUACAACUCCACUACCUAAAUGCACCAUAGAACCAUGCUUGUAAAUUUCCAACUUCCCAAAAUGUCCCAAAAGUCCAAAAGUCAACCCUUGGUCAAGGUCCAAGUCAACUGUCAAAGUCAACAAUCCAUGUUGACCUCGACUCGUCGAGUACAGCCAACCACUCGCCAAGUUACUUGCAUACUCACCAAUUCGCCGAGUCACUUGAGUGACUCGUCGAGUUCCUAGUGUCAGUGGUCGUAACUCCUUGGCCAACUCGGCGAGUUUUUCCCGUACAAAUCCCCGUGUUCAUACAUGUCCAAAGGUUGGGAAAACCCUAGCCGACUCACCGAGUCAUCGGUUGACUCGCCGAGCCCAAGGCAAUCUUCAUCAGACUCGCCGAGUCGUUCAUCCGACUCGCCGAGUCCAUUAAGUCCUUCAUCCAUACAGAGGCUUUUUAAACCAUACAAAGGCUCCAUAUUUUAGAUCCAGUCCCCCAAGGCAUGUUUAUCACGUAAAGUUGCAAACUUUACGUGCAUGCAAGGCCCUAAAGUCUUAAAAUGACAAACUAAGCUUGCAAUGGAGGUUUUGCACUUAAGGAGAGUCUCAUCUUUGUAAAAGUUGGAAGCUUUAUGGACUUAGAGAACCAAGAGAGUUCAAAUCUGAAGCUAAAACUUUAGAUCUUAGCUUAUACACAAGCAAAGCUUCCAAACAUACUAGGAAAGCCCUAAAAUCCACCCAAAAGAGAUCUAGAAUGAAAUGAGCCAAGGUAACAACCUAAUACCUUCAAAAAGGGUGUCUACUGGAGUAGAUCUUUGCUUCCCAUGAGUUUCCUUGCUUCAAUUUACUUGUUUCCCAAAUGUUUCUUCACUAAGAUUCCUCUUCUAAGCUUCAACCCACCAAAGAAACACACACACACGAUUUAGGGUUUAAGGGUGCCAAGAAGCUGUAAAGGGGAGGCUGGGGAAGGCCAAUGAUCCUUUAAAUAGGAUGUAAGACCCUGGAAUUUAGGGUUUCAUCUGCCAGCUCCUACUCGUCGAUUCCCCUCUUGGACUCGACGAGUAGGUCACUAAAUCACGCGGACCAACCCACUGCUACUCGACGAUUAGGGCAACCAACUCGUCGAGUAGACCUUGAAAACAAGAAAAUUAUUAUAGAAUCAAUACCUGAGAAUCGGGGCGUUAAAAUUCUCCCCCACUUGAACUAGACUUCGUCCUCGAAGUCUGUCGUGGCGAACAACUCCGGAUAGUGCUCCUGCAUCUCUGCCUCUGGCUCCCAUGUCCACUCGGACCCCCUCCGAUGCUCCCACUGAACCUUCACCAGAGGUAUCUCCAUGUUCCGCAGAACUUUCAUCUUCCUCUCCAGAAUGGCCACAAGCCUCUCAAUGUAAUUCAGGCGCUCAUCAGCUUGAAUAUCUUACAACGACACCACUGCCUCCGGAUCCAUAAUGCACUUCCGCAACUGCGAAACAUGGAAAGUGUUGUGGAUCCGACAAAGCCCCUCUGGUAGCUCUAACCUGUAAGCCACCUUGCCAACCCUGGAAAUGAUCCUGAACGGCCCAAUGUAAUGGGGACCCAAUUUCUCCAUAUUCCUGAAGCGGAUCACACCCUUCCAGGGUGAGACCUUCAGGAGUACCAUAUCACCCACCUGAAAUUCUAACUCAGAUCGUCUUCUGUCGGCGUAACUCUUCUGCCGACUCUGGGCGGUCUGCAAUCGCUGCCUAAUCUGCUGAAUCUUCUCGGUAGUCUGCAAGACUACUUCUGUCCGCCCCAUCACCAUGUGUCCAACCUCACCCGAACAAACCGAGGUGCAACAUCUCCGCCCAUACAACAGCUCGAAAGGCGGGGCGCCAAUGCUGGAAUGAUAGUUGUUGUUGUAAGCGAACUCUACAAGCGGUAGGUGGGAAUCCCAACUCCCACCGAAGUCAAUGACACAUGCCCUCAAUGUCACACCCCAAAACCGGAACUGCGGAAACGUUCAGGGGUAGAGGACUUCAUGUCAAGUAUCACGAGAUAUGUAUAGGGUAAGCAAGUAAUGACCAACCAUUUCAUUUAGAAAGAAAGUGUUUACAAUGUGUGUGUUCACAAAACAUAGAAGUCAUAAACAAAUAACAAAACAUGACUUGAAGUUGUAAAGCUCCAUCUUCUGAAGUCCCAGCACGAGCACCUGUCUAAUAGUCUCCUGAGAAUACAAGUUAUUUGAAAGAGUUGAUCAGCAAUUAAGCUGGUGAGUUCAUAAGAUUUUAGUGAUAUGAGUAAGCUAUAAAAUGUGGUUGAAAAUGUAUAUGCACAAGUGAUGUAAGUGGUAAGUUCUGUUUUGAAAUGUUCGCCUGUUCCUCUAGAAAAUCCUAUAUUUCCUACUUUAAUGGAAGUUAAGUAAAAUGACACUACAAGCCUUUCUAUGCGUACUAAGUGGGUACAAGUUAUAUAUAAUUAGAGUAAAUAAACAAUCGAUUGUGCGCAUCUGCCCUAAACUCACAACCUAAUGGGGAACAACAAGUAAGGUGGAUAGCACACAUUCCAUUGGUUGUUAGAUCAUUGUCAUACAUAACCUUGGUGUAUUCCCUUGUUACUCAUGGAGUUAUUUGUAAUGGUUCCUUUAUAUCUAAUGGAGAGUUCUUUUAAGAAAACCUAUAUUUCUUAUAGUAAAAUAAUGACUACGGUGAUUACUUUUAUAAUAGCUUUGUUUAUAUUGCUAUAUAUAAUCUGAUAUCGGGUAGAAAGUUAAUUGGGUGAAUCUGCCCUAAGCCCACAAUCCAACAGGAACAAGACGUCGGGGGGAAAACACACAUUUAGCUAUCUAUUGGAUAUUAGUUUUAUAUAUAAACAUGGUGUAUAAACUAAGGUGUUAUAGAGUUAACUCACCUAAAGUCUCUAAAACUGUACUGGCUUAAUAAAAUGGAUUAAGCCCUUUUCUAGGAAAUCUCUAGUUUUGUAUACCAAAAAUACUGACUUUGAUAAGUAAGUUUUGUACUAGAAUAACUGUGCGUUGACUUUGUGUCCUAUGACCUGAUCCAUACCUGGUACCCUUAUGAUGACUUAAUGUAUACUAAGCAUAGAUAUAUAUAGAUUCGGGUAGAUAAUAGAUUGGGUGACCUCAAUGCAAGCCCACAUCCAACGGGAACAGGAAUUGCAGCAAAGAGCACACAUCCUAUUAGUUGUCGGAAUCUACUAGCAUAUAUGUAUCCUAUAGGGUAUACAUUAUGGAAUCAUAAAGUUAGCAUCAUGAUCCUAACCUUUAAUCGUAGCCUUCUACCAAGGCAUCUUCUGUUUUGAGUUAAACCCGACUGUUCCUUUGUCAAAUGUAGAAGUAUAUUCUCCCUACUUUAUAACUAUCUUGACUAGAAAAUAGAUCAACUUUCAAGUGGUACCGACACUUUAUGAAAGUAAUGGGAGAAGUAAGUACACAUAUGUCGUUUAUAAUGACCUGCGGAUGUACUAAUAACCUAAAAACAUAUUUGUUUUAUUACGGUCAUAAUGUGAAAGCUAGAACCCUUACUAAACGCUCUUAAUGUAAAGAGAUUGAGGGAACCAAACGCGACCCCAACAAUUUCUUACAAGCUGUGUAAUUCACAUUAAAUUUAUAUGAUCAUGUAUACCCAAUAUAACUAUCACUAAUGCGUUAGUGAUUCAUUAGUAUAAUUAGAUCCUGUUUGUGUGUUCUCAUGCUAUAGCAACCUAACUUGUUUGUUAUGUUCUGUUCUGGUAUUGUUUGAUUCUCUUCACUAUUUGUUCUGUUAUGGUAUUGUUUGAUUCUCUUCACUGUUUGUUCUGUUGUGGUAUUGUUUCUUUGUGUGCUUCACUGUACUAGAAGUAAUGAAUAACAUUCUCCUAAACUAUACCUAUAAUAGUUUACUAAUGCUCUACUUGGACUGUUACUGAAAUGACUCAUUUCUCUACUAAGUUAUGCUUUUACUUUAAUAACGAAGUUUUGUAUAACAAUAAAGUAACAUAACCUUAAACGAGUUUUGAAAUGUGUUGACAAAUUAUAAAUAACAUAAGUAACAUUUUGAAGUAUGUUUAACAACAAACAUUUACACAAUUAUCAUUGUGUUCAACCUGUAUUCCCCCCCCCCCUUAAAACAGUUAAAAUAGUUAAAUGAUUCAUUACGGGGUAUGAACUCACCUGUUGUGGGUGAUUCAAACGGGUAUGCGUGUAAGGAUGAGAAGUUCCACGAAUGAAGUCCCGAGACACAAUAAGUCCUAAAUGAUAUAUAAUGACACACAUCGGCAUGAAUAUAGUGUUUAUAACAACUAUAUGAAAGGAAACACCUUCAGGGACUAGGAAACACCUUGACCAAGUGUUGGAAUCACAUGUGAUUCAACAAAGGAAGGUAGAAUGGCACUCACAUGAGUUUACUACCAUGGGUUUAUAGCCCAAGGGAGUUUACGGCCGUAAACUCAUGGUUACUCAUGUAUGAAGGCAAGUUUGAAGGCUAGGGAAUGAUUUAGGGACCUUAACUCUACCCUAGGAUGAGGAAGACCACCUUCUUUGGAGUUGUUGAGGUGUUUACGGCCCAAAUGAGUUUACAACCGUAAAAUCAUGGCCAUUUAUGUUUAUGAGGGUCCUAAAGGUCAUAAUGAAGCAUCCUAAAUUCAAGUCUAAGCCUUAGGAAGUGUUUGUGGCAUCAAAACACCCUUAACUUGAGUUUUCGGCCAUUCGACCAUUUUGGCUUGUGUUUGCGGCCGUAAUCACCUAUGGGUGAUGGUAUUUUGAUUGUUUUGAGUCCUAAACACAUCAAGGUAAAGUGCUAGGCUAGCCUCUUGGCUUAAGGAAGGCAUUUGGGGCAUUUUGGCACCAUGAAAGGGAGUUCACGGCCCAAGAACAUCCUUGGCCGUGAACUCUCUUCUAACCCUUGUUUCUUAGUGUUUUUAAGGCCUAUAUAUGUCAAGGGUUGUUCUAUGUUCGGUUCCAAGGUCUAUAGGGGCAUAAGGCACACUUUUGGCCUCAAAUUUAGUGUUCACGGUCCAAGAGGAUCUUGGGCCAUGAACACCCUUUCCUUGGGUUUUAUGGAUGAUUUCCAUGUUAUCUAGUCAUGUAGUACCCUUUUAAUACACUCUAGGGUCGAUGUACUUACAAUUGGGGGUGAACGGAUGAAGAUCCUUGAGAGAGAAAUCGACUUUUCUCUAGUUGGAAAUGUAAGAAAUGAAUAAAUAUGGCUAAGAACCAUAUAUAUACCCCUAGGGUUUUUGGCAGAAAAUAUUUUAUUCAGGCAUUGAACUCUAAUAUCAAUGAGUUUUUGAAAAACAGAGUUGCACAAUACCCUAGUGCAUCCUCUCUCCUGAUAUCCCUUUAAGUGUAAAUCCUGAAAUACUCAAACUUAUCCCAAAAGUUUGAAAGUUAGCAGAACGGAUUUGACUUCGAUUGCUAUGGAUGGUUUUACAGAAUGGAAAUUUUUGGGUUGUCACACUCAACAUAUCCUCGCGGGUCUGAAUGGUCCGCUCGCUCUGACUGUCGGUCUAUGGAUGGAACGUCGUGCUAAAAUGCAACCGCGUGGCGAGACAUGAUGGAGACCGGAACCCCAUGGCGAGACACGAUCACGCAAACGUACAUGUCGGCCAACCUCCCGGCUGACAAACUCUCCCAAAUAGCCAAGAAAUAGCCACUCUUGGUCAAUCGAUCAACGAUGACCUAUAUAACAUCAAAUCCCUUCGCCGUCCUCGGUAACUUUGUAAUGAAGUGUGACAACUAUCAAAUUCUGGUCAAGUCAAAGUCAAACAAAGUCAACAAGUCAAACCGGUCAACUCCGUUAACCCUGGUAUACUAGGGUUUACGUUAUGUAUUUACUGUACAACUCACUAUUUUAAUGAGAAAUCAUCAUUUGGAAAGUUCGUGUAUCUACAUUUCUUUAACCUAAAACUGUGGUAAGUAAUGAACUAAAGCGAUAAAACACUAUUGCAUACUCAUCGGGCGUGUGUAAGAUCCUUGAACAUGGCUUAACGGGGUUUACGGGCAUUGCGUUGCGAAGCCGGACACUAAAAAAGGUCACAAAAGAAGUCUCUCCCAAUCUCUUUCACUCUAUCUCUCUCUAUUAAAAAUCUCUCCCAAAUCUCUCUCAGAAGUUCCUAUAACUUUUUGAAAUCAUUCGGGUCAUCCCCACCCUUAACCGGGUCAAAAACCACUUAAAACAGACUAAUUAUUGGAAAAACAGCCUUUAGAACCGAAGCCUCUCAAUUAAGAACCAAAACCAUAGGGACCGAAGGUGCUAAGGACCGAACCCGAAACUGCCUGUGUUGGACCGAACCCGAAGCUGCCUGCGAGCUAAACCCGAAGGUCCCUUCGGACCAAACCUCCCCUUCCCCUUCGCUCCAUUUCGCCUUCGGGCCCAACAACAGUAGGGACUGAACCAAGGCCCAGUACCGAGAACUCUCGCAGAUAGGCCAAAUUCACUUGGUUUUCGACUACGACUUCAUUUUAGGCCCGUUUUACAUGAUUUUAUCACGGGAUUUUCACCCGAAAUCACAUUUUAACAUAUAGAACCCGAUACUUCAUAAUUAAUCACGUUUUUGGGGUAUAAUCCUUAUCCAAGAAGAGUGGGUGGGAUAUUAUUGGUGGAGUGUUGACUUUACUUUAGAGUAUGACACAAGCAACCACCCAUUCCCACUCCAUGACCAACCCUUGUCCUUCCACCAUACCUAGUCCUUUGAUUGUACUCCUUCCAUCAUUUUUCCAGCCACAUCCUUGAUCAAAGGCUGGAAAACUCCCCUUUCUCCUCACAUUUCUCUCAUUUUUCCACCAAAGAACAAACUCCAUUCUCUCUCACUUUCUCUCUCUAAAUUUUGAGAUUCAAGGCUAUUCUCCAAACUUUUCUUCUACUUUUGGUAAGUAUUAUCAUCCUCCAUAUGAUCAUUUCACUCCUUUCUACUCAAAUCAUAGAUUUCUUACACAAACUCGUUCAUAUUUGUGUUAGAUCUUCAAAUCUUCAAGGCAUCUUCUAAGUGUUCUUGAGUUGAACACUUCUUUUAUUCGACAUACAUCCACUGAAAUCACACAAGGUGAGUUCAUACCCCUACAUUUUCAUGUUUUCUUCAAGUUUCAUGGGGGAAUGCAAGUUAAAUCACCAUAAUAUAACUUAAACUCUAUCAUCAGCUUUCAACAGGAAAGUUGAGUCCCAUUAACGGACUAUUUUGACCUUCAUAAACUUUUUAUUUUCCAAAACUGUUUAAUAUGCAAAUAGUUUAGGUUAAUACCUUUAAAAUGACUACUUGCGCAUCUCCACACUAUUUUUCUACAAUUUAUGGCGAUUUUUACAAAACAUCCUAUCAUUUUAGAAACCACUUCAGACCAGUCUGUGAAGUUGGACAUUUUUACACAAGUUAAAGGUCACUAAAAAUCAUGAUAAAAAUUAUGAAUAAAAUAGACAUAUUUUAUAAGCUCUCAGAAUUUACGGAUUCUGAUUUCGACUUCAAAUGAUUUUUCUAUGAUUUUUGUAAGAACAUAAACAACAAGGUUAAAACUAGAAAAUGGUAAACAAUUUCAUUUGCACCUUGUAGCUUGUUGAGCAAGGUGUGUUUUAUUAUAUAUAUAUAUAUAUACUAGGAAGGAUAAUUUGAGAAAUCAAAGUUUCCCGAGAACCCAAAAACUAAAGGUGGAACGUUGGAUNUUACAAAUAAUAUUAAUAAAUUAUAAUAGGUAUAGUUAGGUUGCAUAUGCAUUACAAACAUUAUGAUAAACUAUAAUAGGUAUAGUUUAUGUUACAAUUACAUUUCAAACUCAUUACGAAAGGUUUUCUUUUCAUAUAAAUGGGGUACAAAUACAAAGUACCGGGUCUAUACAAAGGGGUACAUUACAAAGUAUCGAGUUUUCAUAUAAAAGGGGUACAAAUACAAAGUAUCGAGUCUAUACAAAGGGGUACAUUACAAAGUACCGGGUUUUCAUAUAAAAGGGGUACAAAUACAAAGUAUUGGGUCUAUACAAAGGGGUACAUUACAAAGUAUCGGGUUUUCAUAUAAAAGGGGUACAAAUACAAAGUAUCGGGUCUAUACAAAGGGGUACAUUACAAAGUACCGGGUUUUCAUAACUAAAGGGGUACAUUACAAAGUACCGGGUUUACACAAAAUGGUUUUAUGAUAUUAGAACUACAAUCCAUCUUGAAUUUGUUAGUUUUCUGGUUAUAAUUGCUAAGUGUAUAUGUUAGCGUUAUAUAAGAAUUUAGCUGUGAUCGACUUAGAAUUGGUGGGCCCGCUUUACUUCUCGUUCCUUGUUUGGUUGUGGACCUAGGGCAGACCCAUUAUAUUCGACGGUUUAUCUAACUUAAAUUUUAUAUAACUUAUAUACCGUGGGUGAUUAUAGAGGAAAUCUAUAGGUCCUUCUAGGGUACAUUAUUGCAUAACAUAGGAGUUUUCCUUACACAUUUUAUAAAGAAAAUAUUGGAUUUUCUGGAAUCAUACUCAUUCACUUUUACAAGGAAAAUGACAUCUUUAUCAAAUAAAACUCUUAUGAACUCACCAACUUAAUUGUUGACACUUUUUCAAAACUACUUGUAUUCUCAGGGAAUCAGUAAAACAGGAAAUCAGCGGCUUUUGAGGAUGGAACGCUUAGACGUUAAACAUUUCAUUUUUGUCAACAUAAUGUAAUUGAUUUAGAAACAUGUAAACUCAUACUAUGGUGUAACUUUUUCAAUUAUAUUUAUGUUGGUUGUUUUUACUUUGAGCACUAUUAUACUCGUUGUUGUGAUAUUAUACAUGAAGUCCUCCACCCUCGGACGUUUCCGCCAUCUUUGGUUUGGGGGUGUGACAUGAAGUCUAUCGUGAUCUGUUCCCAUUUCCACAUGGGAAUCUCUAGAGGCUGUAGCAUACCAUUCGGCCUCUGAUGCUCGGCCUUGACCAUCCUGCAGGUCAAACACCUAUCGACAUACCAAGCGAUUUCUCGCUUCAUACAUGGCCACCAGUAACUCAAACUCAAGUCUCGGUACAUCUUGGUGGUCCCGGGUGAAUACAGAAGUGAGACUUAUGAGCCUCCUCCAUGACUGUUUGUCUGACCCCACCAGACAUCGGAACCCACACCCGACCGCAUCGGGUCAAUAAUCCCCGACUAUCCUCCACAAACCAGGUGUUCUCACCCUUGAUCCUCUCCAACUUCCAGUUCUCCGGUCGCAUGCCCUCAACCUGAGGACCCCUGAUCAAGCUCAUAAGCGUUAAAUCCACCGUUAUCCUCAUACAACACUACUAGGGUGGAAGACCCAGUUGCCUUGCGGCUCAAAGCAUCCGCCACCACGUUCGCUUAACUGGGGUGGUAAAGGAUCUCGCAGUCGUAGUCCUUGACUAAAUCCAGCCACCUAUGCUGUCUCAUGUUCAUGUUCGGCUAAUCCAUGAUGUUUCUCAAACUCUUGUGAUCCGUAUAUAUGGUACAACGAACCCCAUAUAAGUAAUGUCUCCAUAUCUUGAGAGCGAACACCACCGCUCCUAGCUCUAGAUCAUGAGUAUGAUAUCUCGUCUCAUGCGACUUCAGCUGUCGCGAUGCGUAGGCUAUCACUCGUCCUCUCUGCAUGAGGACCGCCCCUAAACCCGUGAUGGAUGCAUCGCAGAACACCACAAAAUCCUCCACUCCCUCUGGGAGUGUCAAGAACGGAGCCUCGCACAAACAUUGACGGAGAGUCUUAAAUGCCCUAUGUUGAUCCGGUUCCCACCGGAAAUCCACUCCCUUCCUCGUCAGACGAGUGAGGGGUACUGCAAUCUUAGAGAAAUCCCGAAUAAACCUUUGGUAGUAUCCUGCUAAACCCAGAAAGCUCCUGAUGUCCGAAGGAUACCUCAGCACCUCCCACUGCAUGACUUCCUCGUUUUUAGCUGGGUCGACCAAAAUCCACUCCUGGUUAACGAGAUGUCCGAGGAACUGGACCUCUCGCAACCAAAAUCACACUUCGAGAACUUAGCAUACAACCGUUCUCGUCUCAGAACUCCCAACUAGGGGUGUAAGUGAGUCGAGCUACUCGCGAGCUACUCGGGAUCGACUCGUUAAAAGCUCGACUCGAGAUCGAAUUAAACGAGCCCGAGCCGAGCUCGAGCCCAAAUAUGAGGCUCGUUUAUUAAACGAGCUNNNNNNNNNNNNNNNNNNNNNNNNNNNNNNNNNNNNNNNNNNNNNNNNNNNNNNNNNNNNNNNNNNNNNNNNNNNNNNNNNNNNNNNNNNNNNNNNNNNNNNNNNNNNNNNNNNNNNNNNNNNNNNNNNNNNNNNNNNNNNNNNNNNNNNNNNNNNNNNNNNNNNNNNNNNNNNNNNNNNNNNNNNNNNNNNNNNNNNNNNAUAUAUAUAUAUAUAUAUAGGCUCGUUUAAGCUCGUUUAGGCUCGCAAGCUCACUAAAUUGUUCACGAGCCGAGCUCGAGCUCAAGCUUCUUCAAAUUAAACGAGCCGAGCUCGAGCUUGGUUUACACCCCUACUCCCAACAACUCCCCGAGGUGCUCCUCGUGCUGCUAUCGGGUCUUGGAAUACACCAAGAUAUCAUCUAUGAACACAAUGAACGAGCGAUCAAGCAUCGGUCUAUAGACCCGAUUCAUCAGGUCCAUGAAUACUGCUGGUGCGUUGGUGAGCCCAAAUGGCAUCACCACGAGCUCGUAAGGACCAUAAAUAGUUCGAAACACGGUCUUCUCGAUGUCCUCCUCUCUGACCCGGACCUGAUCAUAUCUCGACCUCAAAUCAAUCUUGGAGAACCAAGAUGCACCCUGCAACUGAUCGAAGAGAUAAUCUAUCAUAGGAAAUGGAUAGCGGUUCUUCACCGUCAACUUGUUCAACUCCCUAUAAUCAAUGCAUAUCCGGUGUGAACCGUCUUUCUUCCUGAAGAAGAGGAUCGGUGCUCCCCAUGGAUAACUGCUAGGUCGAAUGAACUGCUUGCUCAACAGUUCCUACAGCUGUGAAGACAACUCCUGCAUCUCGGGUGGCGCCAACCGGUACGACGCCUUGGCGAUAAGAACCGCACCCGGUACCAGAUCGAUCCGGAACUCGACCUUCCUCUCCGGAGGUAUCCCUGGCAACUCCUCCGGGAACACGUCAACAAACUCCCAACCACUGGAACCUCUGAAACUGAAAUCUGAUCCCUAACACGUGUAUCCACCACUUACGCUAGAUAACAUGCACACCCGUGCUGAAUACACUGCCGAACCCUGACAGCUGAACAAAAUCCUGAUCCCACUCUAGUGCCCUCACCAUAUACCACCAGUUCUCCCCCACUUGGGGUUCAAACUACCACCAACUCGCCCUCACAGUCAAUCAUAGCACCGAACCGACUGAGCCAAUCCAUGCCUACGAUCACACACACCUCCCCCAUGGGGAUCAGAUUCAAAUCUAUCAGAAAGGACACCCCGGAAAUCUCCAACUCUCACCCUAGGUAGAUCGAAGAAGCAGAAACCCCGUGUUUGUUAGUGAUAGAGACUCGCAACGGAUACUCUAACUCGCCCACUGGCACACUGAACUCCUUACUAAACGACUGAGAUAUGAAGGACCGACUCGCCCCCGAGUCAAAUAAAACCAAAGCAGGCAAAGAGUUCACUAAAAACGUACCUAAUCACAGGUAAAACAGAUUAACAUAAUACAAUUAUAAUAAAUGAAAUAAAGGAGAGAAACAUACCAUCAACCACAUCUGGUGCUGCCCUGGCCUCAUCUGCGGUCAGCUGGAAGGCAUGCCCCUGAGCCUUCGAAGGCUCUGUCUUGACUGGCCUCCCAUCCAUUAUCCUAAAUGUAGUCGGCACUGGAGCCUGCGCCGGUCUGGCUGCGAGAUGUGGACAGUUGGUCUUCACGUGACCAACCUGAUGACAGUGAUAACAUAUCCUCAUAUCAUAUGCAAGGGCUGACUGGCGACAAUCCCUAGCAUAGUGCCCCUCAUUGCCACACUUGUGGCAUCCACUACCCGUCCGACAAACUUUGGAAUGACUAUUGCCGCACUUUCCACAAGUACGACUAUGUUGUCCCCCGGUCGUAGAAUUAGCGAUCUUAUAUCGCUUAGGCGCCGACUUCAACUGCGUCGGGGCCUACCGCUGCUCCCUCACCUGCCGCUCAAUCUCUAACUCACGCCGCCUAGCGGCUUCCUGUAACUCCAAAAGAGUAUCACAUCGCUAGGUAGACACAAACUGACGGAUGUCAGUCUUGAGCAUGCUCAAACAAUGAGUCAUCUGAGCAUGCUCAGAAGCAAACUCUGGGCAGAACAUCACCCUCUCUAUGAACAUGCGAGUGAUCUCCGUCACCGACCCCCUCCUGUCUCAAACUCAAAAACUCUUGUGACAAACGUUCCCGCUCGACCCGUGGAAUGUAUCGGGCGCAGAACAUAUCCCUGAACUGCUCCAAGUGACAGCAGGUCUUUGAUCAUCAGUGUACGGCCCAGUCACCAAUCUCCACUAGUCCUUGGCCCCGGAUCUUAGCAGGUUCAGGGCACACAUGACCUUAUGGUCAGUAGGACACGAGUAGGUAAAUAAACACCCCUCCACAUCUGAAAUCCACCUCAUAGCCUUGAUGGGGUCCUGUGUCCCAUCAAAAGUAGAGGGAUUCGUGUUAUCAAAGUCCUUGUACUGGAAGCCCCUAGUGGCUCCUCCUCCCCCUGCCGCUGUUACAGCCGAUGCAACUACAACGACAACCAUCUCCGCAAGGGUUGCGUAUCGCUCGUCAAAGUACUCGACCAUGGCGGUCUUAAUAGACCCAAACAUAUCCGGCAGUUGUGCCCAGAAUGCAGCAACAACCUCAUCAUGCAGGAUCUCCCAAAUCCUGACAUCUAACUCCUCUGUACCCAUCUGCACCAUGGGCUCAGGUGUUGUUGGCCCCUCCUGGCCUCCGUCUCUUAAUCCUGAUCCUGAACCGGAUACAGUUACAAAGCGUCUCGUCAUCACCAUUCUGAAACAUACCACAAGAUAUCAGAUAAUCCACAUAAAUACCUGGGAACCAACCCCCGACUAAAACCUAGGGGUUGUGACUUCCUUGAUACGUGUAUGGGUCCUGUACUUUCAGUAGUACGGGCCCAUACUAUCUUCCACACCUACCCAUAUUUGUCUCAAGUAUCACCACAACACCCUAACAAUAUACAUAAGCAUAGCGAGCGCUCAAUCCUCACUCCUAGAGGAAGUCUAACUGAAUCACAACUGACCUACCGGCCUCACAUAACCCACCCAUUCAUGAAACUUCCACAAACCCUGCAACAUUAGUGUAUGCUAAUCAUACAUAACGCUAGACCCUAUAGACUUUCGAAUAUCCGACCCUACCCUAAGCCCUAAUCAAUAAGAGCAGAACAUAAGGUCAAAUCAAACAUUCUCGGGCUAUAAGAUCUUAAUUAUGUACAAUCGUGAUACAUACACAAGUAACUACAGUCAUGAUGUCAAUCUCAUGUAAAGAAACCCUAUGCUAGCAGGCAUCACGUAAUCAUGCAAUUCUAUCAUGUAAUUCCUGAGGAUCCCUAGCCGAGUACUAGCAUGUUGUUCUAUCAUAUCAUAAUAUCAAAUAAUUGUAUGGUAUUUUGGGGUCAACUUACAGGCUUUGGUUGAUCGUACACCUUGCAUGCUUUCUUACUUAUUUUGAAAAACAUUUUAAAAAAAUAUCAUUUUAAAUCUUUCCUUUGAUUUGAGACUGGAGUCACACGAGUGUUCCUCCAAUUCACUCAAACCAAGGCUUUCAUACCAACAUGUAACACCCAAAAAUUUCAUGCCAAAUUAAAACUUUUUCAAAACAUUUAAAACCAUUUAUUAUUACAAAGUUUGUUUUCAAAAUAUCUAAUAUCAAAGUUUUCCCAGAAACAUAAACAAAUCAUGAGGAGCUGUACGAUCAUGCCUUCGCCUUGCCGCGAUCCCUGAUGUACUUGAAACAAUAAACUAAAACUAUAAGCCCAAAAUCUUAGUGAGUUCCCCCAAAAUACCAACGCCAUACAAAUAUAACCACUUCAUAUAACAAACACAGAAAAACAUGCAUAAUGAGCAUCCAGCAUGACUGGACCGCCUCGCAUGGCCUACAACCUAUCUGGACCGCUCCCGAGCCUUCGACAUGACUGGACCGCCUCACAAGGCAUACAGCCUAUCCCAACCGCUCACCGGGUAUGUUGGCCUACAACACAAAGCAGGACCGCCUCAACCCAACCCCCAAUCAAACAAACAACUGCACAUAAAUAUCAUAUGCUAGCUCAUAUCAUAUAACAGUCAAACCGAUCUAACAUAUCACUAUUCAUAACAACAUCCCAAUAAUCGGGAUACAGACCUAACCGGUCACUAACAUAGCAUCAUCCUAUAACCAAGACACUGACCUAACCAGGUCACUAAGCAUAAGCAUACCACCAUCCUAACUACCAGGAUGUAAUCAAUAAACAUAUCAUGCCUUAAUCCAAAUACAAAUAUACAAAGGGCCGACAUUGGUGCCUUAGACCUAUUGGUAUAGUGAGGAUAACUCACCUUGCACUUUCGACUCGAAGAUAAACUCAAGCUCUUGGAUUGCCGGUACAACUCCACCACCUAAAUGCACCAUAUUGUAGAUCCAGUCCCCCAAUGCAUGUUUAUCACGUAAAGUUGCAAUGGAGGUUUUGCACUUAAGGAGAGUCUCGUCUUUGUAGAAGUUGGAAACUUUAUGGACUUAAAGAACCAAGAGAGUUCCAAUUUGAAGUUACAACUUCAGAUCUUAGCUUAUACACAAGCAAAGCUUCCAAACACACUAGGAAAACCCUAAAAUCCACCCAAAAGAGAUCUAGAAUGAAAUGAGCCAAGGUAACAACCUAAUACCUUCAAAAAGGGUGUCCACUAGAGUAGAUCUCUGCUUCCCACGAGUUUCCUUGCUUCAGUUUACUUAUUUCCCAAAUGUUUCUUCACCAAGAUUCAUCUUUUAAGCUUCAACACACCAAAGAAACACACACACACACACGAUUUAGGGUUUAAGGGUGCCAAGAAGCUGUAAAGGGGAGGCUGGGUGAGGCCAAUGAUCCUUUUAAUAGGGUGCAAGACCCCGUAAUUUAGGGUUUCAUCUGCCAACUCCUACUCGUCGAGUCCCCUCUUUGACUCGGCGAGUAAGUCACUAAAUCACGCGGACCAACCCGCUGCUACUCGACGAGUAGGGCAACCAACUCGUCGAGUAGACCUUGAAAACAAGAAAAUUCUUAUAAAAUCAAUACUUGAGAAUCGAGGCGUUACAAUGAAACAUAAAGGUUGAAACUUGAAGACUCAUAAUGGUCUAGAAAAUGAGCUAGAAAGUGGAGGAGUGGCUUGCUUGCUGAAUAUUCACACAAUAGAUGCCUUGUUCUUUUUUUUUUUCACCAAACACCACCACAAAACUUCAAAAACUCAACAAUGGUGGCUAUGGGUGCUUUUAGGCCGAAAGGGAGCCGAUGGAGGCUGAGGGUGUGCAAGCCUUAACCAUCACAUCUCUUAAAUAGGCCUUAAAGCCCGAAAAUUAGGUUUUUACAACCUGACCGUCGCCAUAUCGUAGCUAACAUCAUGCCAUGUCGUGGGGACCCAAAUGAAUGGGCGUUUCAUCUAGCCUUAACCAUGUCGUGGUGCAUCAUUUGCCACGUUGUGGUCACCACAAAAUUCAUUAUUUAUGACUUGAAUUACCAAAACUCAAAGGUGUUAUUUACUUGGAACUUGGUGUUACAUAGUAAAGAUGAUAUUAGUGGGUAAUGGUCGUACGUAUUAGUCACCCAUGUCGUGCAAUCCAAACUUACAAAAUCCCAGAAACCUUUGAAAAUCUCAUAUAGUUUACCGGAGACAAUAAGGUUACCUUUGAAUUUGACAAAUUUGGAUUUUCUAUGAAGGCUUUCUGCACCCGCUAGAUCCUUCUUCGAUGUGUAAGCUCAUGUGACCUAUAUCCGACCACCGAGUCUUGGUCUCCAGUUGCGCAUCAAAGUUUGGUCCACCUCAGUGCUCAUGCACUUAAGUCAUUAAUGUAAAGUCAUUUUAUUUAUUGUAAUAAAAAACAUUGCUAGUCUGUCAUGUCAUGCAAGUCAUUUUAGAAAACACAUUCAUUUACCUUUUAUUAGUUUAAAUAUAAAUGUUUCUUCUAUGUUUGAUGUGGUUCAUUAUGAUAUUUGAAAUUCACCUAUUACUAGUCUUAGUGACAUUUGAAUCCUUUUGUGAUCCACACAAAGAUAAGAUGUGACAUAUAGCACAAUUGUAGAGAGAUUACUUAACAUCAGGUUAAACAAAAUAUGAAAAUACAUAUAAAACAAGAAAGUGCUUAGCCUAUGAAUAUGUAUUAGCAUCCUAUUUCAGUAACAAUAAUCUUUCUAUUUUUGUGAGAAAGAAUUUGCAAUUAAUCCUAAAAUAUUCAAAUUUAAAUAUUUAACAAUGAUAUUUCUUAUUAUUGUUCAAUUUAUUUAGCUUAUUUGCUUUAAAUCAUUUACAAUUCUAUUUGAAAAGAAACAAAGAUUCUUAUUUCUUAUUAUAAUCAAAUACAUACUUUACUGUAAAAGUAAAACUUGACUCAAAUAAUGAUGUCGAGGUACAAAACUUUUUCAAUUAUCAAGAUUCGUAACUUGACUAAAAUGGCCCGGUAUAUAAUAUUAUAUCAUGUUUUUAAACUAAUAUUCUUAUUUUUUUUUUCGGUGUAUCCUUUACACAACAAGUCUGGUGUUUUUACCAAAUUUCUUCACUUUUGUGAAUAUGUUCAAAAUCAAUUCAAGUGUGAUAUCAAACCCUUUCGAUACGACCAUAUCGACGAACUUGACAACCAUCACUUCCACGUUAUUUGUUAAAACAUAAUUGAAUUCCGCUGAUCUUAUCCUCAUACCUCCCAACACAAUGCGAAGUCCGAACGUAUGAUUUGAUCCAUCAAACACCCAAAAUAUGAAUAAAAACCGCAAAUUGAAUAAAUCGAAUAAAACACAAUAGACACAAUUUGGUUGAAAAAGAUGGAUAAAAACUACAAAAAUAAUGAAUUAAGAGUUAACUUUUUACCUUAAAUUGGAAAAGGGACACAGUAUGCCCAAAACCCAAUUUCGGUUCCAAAUCCAAAUCCCCGAAACCAAUUUCAUUAUAUCAUUCCGAUUCUUAAUUCUAUUAAAAUGUAAAUUCCAGGUUCCUGAACAUUUUACACCCCUUGCUUUACAAAGAUGCCCGAUACUAUUUUAGGGAUUAUACAUUAUUACAAUUACAAUUUACAAAAUAAAUCUUUUAAGUUUUAAUUAAGAAAAAGGUUAUGUAAUUAAUUUGUAAAACGUUACAAAUCCAACUAAGAAUCUAUCACGCUGGCCAUACCCAUCUAUACGUUAUCAUCAUCAAAACUUUAUAUAAAUACCCCUUCAUUGGGCCGAUUCUUUUUAUCCUUGUUUCAUCGUAGGUUUUAUCGAGGCUAUCAGAUUCCCACCUCAUCACUGAUCACUCAGAUCAAAGAAAGGUAAUUUCAUUUUUCAUUUCGUGUUUUUAAUCAGAUUUUUCUUGUCCAUUAUUUCAAAUUAACCCUAUCUUGUAUACAAGCCGUAUAAGAAACACCCAACUGGUAGAGCUCACUUCACAGUCGAUUGUAUCAAUUAGGGACUAGGGUUUAAAAGGGCUAGCUUUUUUUAUGGGGUUUUGUUUUUCUGGAUAUCUUUUUUGAAAUAAUUUAUACCUUUUUUUGCGAAUCUCUACUCGAAUCUUAAUUAGUUGACGAUGGCUCGAUUGAUUAUUCCCUGCAAAGGUUCGAGCUUGCCGAGGACUUGUCUCUUGGGUUUGAUUUCGUCUGCACAUGUGAUUACCGAAUACCAUUUAUUAAUUUUUAUGUUCGUUUGUGUUCUUGAUUAUUAUCUAAUUAACUUAAUAAAAGUUUUCCACAGUUAGCGUUUUGUUUUCAAGAUACGUGAAGAUUAAGGAUACGUGUUAGUGUGUUACUCUCAGUGGUGGGAUUUUUGAGCAUCGUGUAAUUUUACAUGAAUAAUCUGACUAUUAUUUGGAGCAGUAUUCUUGCAGAAAAUCUUACUUUUUUGGCAAUUAAUAAUCAGAAAUUCAGAAUAAUAUUUAGUUUACCUAAAGAAAUGGAACUGAUUAUCGUGACUUCAAAUUACAAGAAUUAGUUUAAACUCACAUUGAAACACUCCAUAAAUGCAAUAUUUUGUAAUUUAAGUUCAUCUUUAUGUUUCUUUUACCCUUUUGAUCUAUUUACAUCUUUAUAAGUUGAUUUUCUUCGUAAUUUAAUCUUUUUCCCCUCCAGGAUUCAUUUAUAAGAUUUUUAUGUCAUAUUUGGUGUCAAAUUUAAGUGUGCUAGAUUACAUGUGUUGACUAAUUUUUCCAAGUCAACCAUGUUCUAUGGAGCCUAAGAAAUGCAACACUUUUUCAUCUAUAUAAUUAAAAGUUCCCAUAAAGUGUGCGAUAAAACGUUUAUAUUAUAUUUUCCUAAUUCACUCGACCUAUACUUUAAUGGUUUUUAACACGUUUCACACGAGUUUUUUUUACAUUUUUUGAUUGAAAACAUUGCAGCUUCAACCUACAUGUCGUAUCCCAUCAGUAAAAUACUCCAACACCAUCUCUAAAUACAGGCUUUAUCAUAAUUCACAGGUUUGUAUUUAUAUCAAUAAUAAUAAUUAAAUUAUCUUUCCAUUUGUGUUUAAAAUCUGAUAUUGAUCCACUUUCAUGGCAUAAUUGUAUUUUGUUUAGCAAAUUAUACGCAAAAGUUGCCGAUUUCCAUACCUUUAUUCACCGGUUAGUUUUUACACAUAACUGUUUUAAUAAAUAUCAAAUAAUGUUAGCCGACAUUUUGUAUAUAUUGAUAGUAUAGGACUCCACAUAUCUAACAAACAUUUAAGAUUCUUGUUAUUAAAUGAGUACAUUUUGUUUAAUAAUGAUUCAUGUUUGGUUUUUAGAGAACUAAUCAAACGAGUAGGAGACUCGUUUGUUCUGUGGCAACCGAAUCCGUGUCAAAAUCAUUUGAAGAAUCGAAAAUGGAGGGUCCUAAAGAGAUUUUCCUAAAAGAUUACAAAUUACCAGAUUACUACUUUGAUACGGUUUGUACUUUGUUCAACUAAAAUGCAUGUUAUUUUUUUAAAGUUUGCAUCUUUAUGGUUUUUUUGUGAAUGAAUUGUUAAUUCAGGUGGAUCUAAAGUUUACGUUGGGUGAAGAAAAGACAAUCGUGUUUGCAAAAAUCAAUGUUGUCCCUAGAGUCAAUGGUAAUAACAGAUGUUAAUUAAUUGAAAAGACGUGUAACAGAGUCAAAGUUAUGUUCUUUUCUUGAUUAUUUAGUGAAUGGAUGCUGUUUUGACAGGUGUCACUCCUCCAUUGGCUUUGGAUGGGAUUGAUCUCAAGCUGAUUUCGGUCAAGAUUAAUGGAAAUGAAUUAAAGGUAUGGAAACACUAAAGUUUAUCUUUAAUUUCCCAUUAAGUUCUGUCUUGACUAAAGCUUACAUUUUUUUUUAAAUGUUCAGGAGGGAGAUUAUGAUGUAGAUGCUCGGCAUCUAAUUCUCAAAGCACCUCCAAGUGGGAGUUUUACCUUGGAAACUGUUACUGAAAUUUCACCACAACAUAACACAUCAUUAGAGGUAAAAAAAAUCUACUAUUUAUUUCUGUUCUCUACUUCUCUUUAGGGCUUUGCUAAAAUUUGUUUAAUGUUUGUAAUGUUUUGUAGGGUCUUUACAAGUCGUCUGGUAAUUUCUGCACACAAUGUGAAGCCGAAGGUUUCAGAAAGAUAACUUAUUUUCAGGUUUGUUAUAUGAAGUGAUUAUUGAUAUCGAUUUGUUUUCUAGUUAUUCUUUCUCCCUUUUUUCAUAUUUUAUUAAUAUUAUUAAUCUUGGUUUCAGGAUCGCCCUGAUAUUAUGGCAAAAUAUACUGUUCGUAUUGAGGCUGACAAGUCACUUUACCCUGUGUUAUUGUCCAAUGGAAACCUCAUUGAUCAAGGAGAUUUAGAGGUGAAACUUGUCUUCUUAUAUGUCUUAACAAAUCAAGUCAUUCUUUUUCUGCAUUAAGUAAGAGAUUAAGCUGUUGAUUGCAGGGUGGGAAGCAUUUUGCUGUUUGGGAGGACCCGUUCAAGAAACCUUGUUAUCUUUUUGCAUUGGUUGCAGGAGAAUUAGAGAGCAGAGAUGACACUUUCAUAACAUGUUCGGGUCGAAAAGUUGAUUUAAGAAUAUGGACCCCACCACAAGAUCUCCCCAAAACCAAACAUGCCAUGUAUUCUCUUAAAGCAGCCAUGAAAUGGGAUGAAGAUGUUAGUUCUUCUUCUUCUUCCAUACUCCCACUUCCUUCCAUCUUUAUUAACAUCUUGACUCAAGGGCGUUUUUGUCAUUUCAUCUCUGGUUCUAGGUUUUUGGUCUAGAGUAUGAUCUUGAUCUCUUCAACAUCGUUGCUGUUCCCGAUUUCAACAUGUAGGCAAAUUGGCAAAACUUUUUUUUUUUUUUUUUAAUUUUGUUUUGUUGUCUGGAUUUAAUUUCUUUACUUACAUUUUUUUGUGGUUUUAAAUUGGCAGGGGAGCCAUGGAAAACAAGAGCUUGAAUGUAUGUGUGUAUAGACAUAUAGUAGUAUUAUAUAAUCUUUUUUCCGCAUAAAAAAAUGUUUUUUAUUAAUCUUUUUUUUUUGUUCUUGAAUAGAUUUUCAAUUCUAAGCUUGUUUUGGCAUCACCUGAGACUGCAUCAGAUGCAGAUUAUGCUGCAAUUUUGGGUGUUAUUGGUCACGAGGUUUGAGAUUCUUUAUUCAUUUGGUCUUUUUUUAAGAAAAUAUAUAUUACUUAAUUUGCUUAAAUAAUAAUUUGUAUAUAUACCCCUUCUAUAUAUUGCAGUAUUUCCAUAACUGGACUGGCAACAGGUUUGAUUAUAUAAACUUUUAUUGAUCAUAUUCUAAAAAAAAUAUGAAAUAUCGUUCUGAUUUUUUUAUAAAUCUUUAUAGAGUGACAUGUCGUGACUGGUUCCAAUUGAGUUUGAAGGAAGGUCUUACUGUUUUUCGUGAUCAAGUAAGACCAUGUUGCAGACUUUUUAAAAAAAAAAAAUCAUUGUAUCUUUUUCAUUAAUAAACAUUUAAUGAUUAUAACAUGUUUUGCAGGAAUUUUCAUCUGAUUUAGGCAGUCGAACAGUUAAGAGAAUUGGUGAUGUUUCAAAGCUCCGUAUAUAUCAAUUUUCACAGGUUUUCAUCUUUAAUCUAAUUGGACAUCAAUUAAAUAUUGUUUUUAUUUUUUCCUUUUUAUAAUAAUUGUUGUCUUUUCUAGGAUGCGGGACCCAUGGCUCACCCUGUUAGGCCUCACUCUUACAUUAAGGUCCGGAGUUCAUUUCCGUUUUUGUAAUCUCUCUUUUGUCUAUUAAAGUUUCAAAACUUACCCUCAACUUUCAACUGUUUUUCUUUUCCUCCUCUCCAGAUGGACAAUUUCUAUACAGUAACGGUAUGCUUCUGAUACGUUCACCCUCGGUUUACUAUUUGUUCUGUUUUGACAAGAAAACACAAAAAGUCAAUGAAUUUAAAUUUUUAUUAUAUAUAUUUUAUAUUGACAGGUGUACGAAAAGGGUGCUGAAGUUGUCCGUAUGUACAAAACUUUAUUGGGAAGUGAAGGGUUCCGAAAGGUAAGGAGAAAGAAGAGAUUCAGUGGUUAUUUUUAGGGUUAAAUGCAAGAAAUAACAAUGUUUCCUAUUUUCAUUUCUUCAUAUUAGCACUUGAUUGUGAUGUAGAAUUGAUGUUUGUUGUUUUAGGGAACGGAUUUGUACUUUAAAAGGCAUGAUGGACAAGCAGUAACUUGUGAAGAUUUCUUUGCUGCUAUGAGAGAUGCUAACAAUGUUGAUUUUGCUAAUUUCUUAUUAUGGUAUUUUACUUUUACAAUAUAUAUAUAUAUAUAUAUAUAUAUAUAUAUAUAUAUUUUAAUGGUUUUUAUUUAAAGAUUUUUAUAAUGUCAACAAUCAUGACUUGUGUUUAGGUAUUCACAAGCUGGUACCCCUAUUGUGAAAGUUACAUCUUCUUACAAUGCUGAAGCUCGAACCUUUUCUUUGAAGUUUAGGUAAGUUUUCAAGACACUAUUUUUAGUUUAUUUUUAUAAAUUACCGUUGUAAUUUUUAUUUUUUUUCAGUCAAACAGUGCCACCUACGCCAGGUCAGCCUACAAAAGAGCCAAUGUUCAUUCCUGUAGCUAUGGGGCUUCUUGAUUCAAGUGGAAAAGACAUGCCAUUAUCAUCUUUCUAUCAAGAUGGGAAGUUAGUGUCCAUCACAUCUGGUGCUCAGCCUGUCUACACUACUGUUCUCAGGGUUACAAAGGUAAUUUUACACUUUGUAGGGCCCGUGAAAACUUUUAUAAGUUAUUCAUCAUACAAACUAAAUCAUUUUUGUGUCUUAAAUUUAGGCUGAAGAAGAAUUUGUAUUCCAUGAUUUGGAUGAAAAACCGAUUCCAUCACUGUUAAGGGGUUAUAGCGCUCCUAUUCGCCUACACUCUGAUCUCACAGAAAACGAUUUGUUUUUCCUUCUUGCUCAUGAUUCAGAUGGAUUUAAUCGGUAAGAAAGACAAAAUGUUAUGUAUAGUUUCACCAUUUUGUUGAUUUAGCCAUUCAACUGUUAUUAUUUUUAUUAUUGAAGUUGGGAAGCUGGACAAAUAUUGGCAAGGAAACUGAUGCUCAACCAAGUUGUUAACUUUCAAAAAGAUGAGAAAUUGGUUCUUGAUCCACAAUUUGUGCAUGGUAUCAAAUGUAUUCUUUUAGAUUCGAGUCUAGACAAGGUAUUUUUCUUUGAAGUUCUUUUUUUUUUGUUCUUGUAGUUUUCAAGAUUUGAGGUAAAAUUGAGCACUAAGUUUAUUCCUUUUUAUUUAGGAAUUUAUUGCAAAAGCAAUAACUCUCCCUGGUGAAGGUGAGAUUAUGGACAUGAUGGAAGUUGCAGACCCUGAUGCUGUUCAUGCUGUUCGAUCUUUUAUCAGAAAGCAGCUUGCUUUGGAGUUGAAACAAGAAUUCAUAAACAAGGUAAAAAAUAUGCCUCCUACCCACCCCACCCCACCCCACAUAUAAACAUCGCGUGAAUUAAUGUUGACAUGUUUGACUUUGACAGGUGAAAGAAAAUAGGAGCUCAGAGAGCUAUGAGUUUGACCAUGUUAAUAUGGCAAGACGUGCUCUUAAGAACACUGCUCUUGGUAUAUAUAUUUUGCUCUUAAGUACCCUUUUUUUUAUGUUGACAAGUGUUGAUGUUUAUGAUUUUGACUUUUUUUUUUUUUGGAAAAAAAAGGGUAUCUUGCAUCUCUUGAAGAUGAAGAAAUCAGUGAGCUUGUGUUGAAUGAAUACAAAAGUGCAACAAAUAUGACAGAUCAAUUCUCAGCUCUUGCAGCCAUUGCUCAAAAACCGGGUAAUGCGCGUGAAGAAGCUUUGGCUGACUUUUAUGAAAAAUGGCAGCAUGAUUACCUGGUAAAUUCUUGUUUUAUGUAAUUUAUUUAGAUUUAUUGAAGUAAAAAAAGGGAUCUUUUUUUAUAUGUUUGUUUUGUUUUCUUGAAUUUUAGGUGGUUAACAAGUGGUUUUCACUUCAAUCUGCAUCGGAUAUUCCUGGGAAUGUUGAGAAUGUUAAGAAACUUUUGAAUCAUCCUGCAUUUGACCUAAGGAAUCCCAACAAGGUCACAACUUUACUCUUAUUUUACUCACCAUUUUAUAUGGAAAAAAAAAGCAAAAAGAGAAAUGGGUCAAAAUGGUUUAGAAGUCUUAUUUUCUUGAACUUUGAUUUUGGACAGGUUUAUUCACUGAUUGGAGGAUUUUGUGCAUCGCCUGUUAACUUCCAUGCUAAAGAUGGUUCAGGCUACAAAUUCUUGGGAGACCUUGUGGUGCAGCUUGACAAACUGAACCCACAGGUGAAAAUGACUUAAUUACCCUUCUUUUAUCUUUCUUCAUUCGAGUAGGACCAAAAUCAGAUUUUUAAAACACCCUUGUAAAGCAUUUUACAAUAGGGCUGGAUGCAAGAUGUUGCAAUUGCAUCAUUCUUGUAUCCAACUCUUUUACAAUACGAAUCUUCUGGGGUUGAUUGAAAUUACCAUUUUACCCUUGUCUUGAUCCAGGUGGCGUCUAGGAUGGUUUCAGCCUUUUCCAGAUGGAAGCGAUAUGAUGAUACCCGCCAAAACCUUGCCAAGGUAAUGAAUCUUGAUCUUUAAUUAAUUAUCGUAUGCUAUAUAUAAUAAACAAAAAAAUAGUAAUAAUUGAAAGUAUGUUUUGCUAAUUCUUGAUGAAAUUGGAAAAACAGGCACAGCUGGAGAUGAUUGUGUGUUGUAACGGGCUCUCAGAGAACGUAUUUGAAAUCGCCUCAAAGAGUUUGGCUGUUUAGAAUCUUUCUUUUUAUGAAAGAAUCAAAGUGGUGAUCAUAUAAAACUUGAAUUAGAAUAAUGAUGUUUUAGUUACUUAUGUACUGGUAAAAUCCCCUGAAAUGGUAAGAACAUGAAUAAUUUUACAACUUUUUCCUUUGAGUUUGUUGAAGAUCUUCAGGUGAAAAAGAAAUGCUAUUUUUCUUGGUCUAGUCCUUAUGUUCCGAAAUUUUCAACAAAUAUAAUACAUUUUAUGCUUAUUGCAUUUGAUCAUUUUAACAUAAAAAACAAGGUCACCUGUUUUACAAAACGGGCAAGGUUAGGGUUAGAAUUUCAACUCGAAUAUGACUUGAAAAUGACCCGUUUAUUUAUAUGCAAGUUUUUCGAAUAAACUAGAAAAAUACAAAACCAAAACCAUAAGGAAAAGAAAACCUUCGAGUCGAGUCGUUUUUGUAAUUCUGAAAUGACUUAGCCGUGAAGAUCAAAACUUUAUUUUCAGUUUUUUCAUUCUCUUCUAAACUAUACAAUCCCUUUGACCACAUAUUGUUCAUAUCAACUGGUAAAAUUCUUUAUAGGUAUAAGUUUUAGUUAUCUUUGUAUGUUCACUUGCUAACAAUUCCUCAAUCUUAGUUUUUCUGGGUAUUUUUGUUUGUUAAUCAUUAAAACAGACGAGAUUGUAAACUACUGGAAUUUGAUUUGCAGAUAACAGAGGAUUUGUGUUGCUUCCAAUGAUGUGUGUUCCUUUUCAACAUUGAGAUUAAGUCAAAUUUUAAGUACUUAAUGGACAAACUCUGAACCAAACUAGUUCCUAACAUCAUUAAGCCUUAACAUCCAAGUACUUAAUUGAUUAAGCCCUUCUUUUGCUUGAUCUCUUUAUGCCGGAAAUGAUAUAUAUACAUUCAAAAAUUCAUAAAAGGAAAUAACGGUUGUGAAUUAAGACACAUAUUUUAUGGAGAUCUUAAUAAAUAUAUAUAACUCAAGCGAAAAUUUAUAAACUAGUAGUAAAUAUAAAUGAUUAAGUCAUCUUUGUCUUUUUCUUUUGCAUUUAAUGCUUGGGAGAGUCCCAUAAUUUCUUCUUGCUUCAUUUUUCCACAAUGAAUCCUUUCUUCUUGUCUUUAACCAUUAAGUCAAGCAAACUUGAGUUUGAAUUCCAUAUGUGUCAGUUAGAGAAACAGAAAGGAAAAAAGGUGAGAUAGGCUUGCAUUAAUUAUUACAUCUACUUAAGUCAUUAGUUGAUCACAAGUAAGAGAAAGAGUCGAUAUAGUUUCUCAUUUACUUCAAAACCCAUAUGUAGUUUUUGCAUGCAUGAAAAAGAGUACUUAAGUGAGUUCUAAGCCAAGAUAACCAUAAUCUUUCUUCCCCAAUACAUUCUAAAUAUAUAACAACAUUUCUCGAGUUUUGGGGCUUAUUUUGUUGAAGCAAAACCCCAAAAAUACACCUACAAGGAGUUGGUAUAUCAAGAGAGGUAUUUAGGUAACAUACUUCGCAAGCUUGGUCUUUGAAGCUUCAAAAUCUGAAGUUGUGUUCAUUUUAAGGUAUACAUAUGUCUAAGAUCUCCCCUUUUUAAAUUCAUAAAGUUUAUAUUUUUAUACCAUCAAGUUUACAUUCACUCACUUGGAGUCACAAAAAUAUGUAUAAAACACACUUGAAAUCCUAUUUAUAUGUACUUUUAGUAUGUUUUAUAUAAAGAGUUAUAGAUAUACUUUCUGUAAAAAUCAUCUAAAAAAUAAAAUAUAUAUUUAUUCUAUAGUUUUGGUUCAAUUGGAAAAGUAAAAUAAACCAAAAAUGAGUUUUUAAUUAUACGAGUUUUUUAGCCGUAUUAUGUAUUUUUAACAUAACCUAUGUAUAAUUGAUUUUGAGUAUACAAUGAAACUUUAUGUUUUCUGUAAAAAUGGAUUUUUACAUAAAGGAUUAUUUAUAUACAAGUUGGUAUUUUUCCAGAUGAAUAAUAUACAGCAGAGUAUUUAUCACAAAAUAGAAUUUUUGUGUAUUUGAAGUUAUAUAGUGUAUUAAAUUUUAUAUAGAUUUUCUACUAAUAAGAAAAUUAUAUAUUUUGCCAUAAAAAUGAUAUUAAUUUCAUUUUUAUAUAAAAAGAGUAUUAAUGACGCUAUAAAUAACACUUUAUAACUUAUAACGUUUUUAUCAUAAAAACCUAUACAUGUUGCUCGGAAUAAAAUUAUACAAUUAAACUUUUGGUAAUCAUAUGUUAUUGAAAAUAUUUAUGUCAUUUAUAUUAACUAUAAAAUAAUUAUUAUUACAUUUAGUUGAUAGAAAAUUUAUUAUCGAUAAGGAUAUUGUUUGGCAAAACUAACUGAUGACCGAAAGCUAUAACUUUUAUCUGUGAAGUAGUGUUCGACAAAAAUAGUUGUCAACUUUUAAAGAUGUAAAAUUACAUUAAAACUAAAACAUAAAAGCUACCAAAAAGUUAUUUGAACUAACUUUUAGAUCAUUUUUUUUGGGAACUCUUUUUUUUGUAUCAAAUAUACCAUACAACUUAUUAGUUGUGUUCGCAAUAACCAUUUUGACGGCUAUCACCUGUUACUCAAGGUUUCUGGUGAUUAUUCUCUCCGGCACCUUCUCGGUGAAACAUGAAUAUUCCGGCGAGUUCUUGGCAAAUCAGAUAUGUGUUAUUGUUUGUCAAAUCCGAAAUCGUUUUAAGCAUUGUCACAUCAUAACCCACACAUGUCGAAGAUUGAAAACUGAAAUUGUGUUUGUGUGUGAAAAAGCAAAAGCUGAAGUCGUUUUUUAGGGUUUUCAUUUGAAGAAGAUGGCAAAAUCGAGCCUCAAAAUCAAGCUUAACGAUGAACAUUUGUCGACAUAUAGUUGUUUAGUUUUGACGAACAUACACGAAGAACACACUCCAUAUCCAAAAUCGAGUUUCAAAAUCUAAGAUCGAGAUCGAAAAUCGCAAAUGGAAGCUUCAUUGUUCUUGUUAAUGGAGAAAUAAAUGGUUUCUUCUUUGUUUUUGAAAACCCAGAAACGCGAAAACUAAAAUAUGAAAUCUUGUUUGUGUGUGAGAAAUCAAAAUCUGAAAUCGUUUAUAGGGUUUUCAUAUGAACAAGAUGGCAAAAUCAAGCCUCAAAGUUGAUCUUAACGAAGAAUAUUUUCUACAUUUUGUUUCCAAAUUUGAAGAAUACAUACGAAGAACACACUCCACACAAAUCGAAGGGUUUCUUCUUUGUUUUUGAAAACCCAGAAACAAAACCCUUGAAAUCAAAUGGUUUGAAAUCGAUUUGUUCCACACAACACACACCUAAAAUUCUCUUAUAGGUAGGAGAUUCAAGAACGAACGAACCCUAGAUUUUAGGGGUUUUGAUUUUCUGAUUUCGAGUUUGGAUCAGAUUUUUGUGUUUGUGUAUGUGUAAAAUUUCCAUCAAAACUCUCUUACCCGACAUGAAUUGCUUCAUAUUUGUGCGACCUUUGCCAAGAACUCGUCGGAAUAUCAUGUUUCGCCGGAGAAGGCGAGAGUUGUCGAAGAAGGUGACCGGAGAGGACAAAGACACCAGAAACCUUUGAGAUUGUCUACGUUUCGACGUAUUUAUUAUUAUUAUUAUUAUUAUUAUUAUUAUUUUAUGUUUUCGUACUUAUUUUCUCGACCUAUAUUUUAAUGUUUUUUAAAACGUUUCACGCAAGGUUUACAAUUUUUUUAUUGAAACAUUGUAGCUUCAGCCUAUGUGUCGUAUCCCAUUAGUAAAAUGCUCAAACACCAUCUCUAAAUACAUAUAUUAUCAUAAGUCAAAGGUUCGCAUCAAUAAUAAUUAAAUAAUCUUCCUGUUUGUGUUUUAAAAACUAAUCUUGAUAUGUUUUCAUUAAGGGUGAGCAAAAAUCGUACCACAACUAAAAUUAACCGCAACCGUAAUAAAAAACGAUGGUGAGGUUUUCUAUUUUUCAAAAACCGCAAAUUGCGGUGCGGUGCAGUUAUCAGUUUUCAAAAACCGCAAAAAACCGCACCGCACCGCAUAUAUUACAUAUAAUUUUUUUAUUAAUUAUUACUAUAUUAAAUAUUAAAAAUAAGACAAGUUUCAUGGUUGAAAGAUAGAUAAAAUACUAGAAGACAAAAGUGUUGGUUUUUUGUUAUGCUUAACUUUGGAAAAUGAUGAAAUUAAACAAUUUAAAGAUAUUUAUUGUUAAUUACUAUUGAUUUGACAUUUUUAAAAUAUUAGUUGUUUGUGAUUUAAAUUAAUUGUUUUAUACCUUAUGUUUCUUUUUUAUUUUUUUAUUUUUAUCAUAAAAGUAAUAUGUUUGAACUCUGAAAACCGUUUGAGCUCUAAACUGUGGUUAAAAAAAAUACAAAAUAACCGCAACACAAAAAAAUAAAACCGCACCGCAAAAAUAACCACACAAAGCGGUUUUGAAAAUGGAUUAACCGCAUUUGCGGUUAGUAGUAAGGUUUUGGCUAAUAACCACACCGAACCGCACCACGCUCACCUCUAGUUUUCAUGGCGUAAUUGUAUUUUGUUUUGCAAAUUUUACACAAACUAGUUUAAUAAUUACUUUUAGCCUACAUUGUACAUAUUGAUAGUAGAGGGACUAUAUUUACCUUUUCUUCUAUUAGCGCCCUAGGGUCGGCCCCAAACUCAAUUUAGCAAAAAGAAAAAAAAAACAAGGGUUUUACUUUUUACACAUCAUCCUAUUCCAAGUCUACUGCACACCAACCUAAUAUUGUGUUGACCUAUAUAUUUGACUUUAACUUUCUCUUUAUUUCUUAAACACAACUUUUAACACUAGUGACGCAAUGAUUAACUAUAAGAAUAGGAAAACAAUAAAAUACAUUUAAUUUAAUAUUAUGUUUAUGCCCCUUUAUUUAUAUAUUAUUUUCUAUUUUCCUCCCUUUAACUUUACAAACAUAUACAACAUAUUGUUUUUUAUUAAUUUAUUUUUGGAUAUAUUUAUUUUGUGUUAUUUUUAAUAUAAAUAAUCUAUCUCGCAUAUAAACAAAUUCGACAUGUAUGAUACUUCAUUAGUUAUAUUGGUUUCUAUUUUUUUUAAACAUUAAGUAUCAUUACUUUGAUCUUUUUUUAGUUAUAUAUAUAUAUAUAUAUAUAUAUUAUUCUUGUAAUACUAUAUUAGUAUAGGGUUGUAUUUUAAANNNNNNNNNNNNNNNNNNNNNNNNNNNNNNNNNNNNNNNNNNNNNNNNNNNNNNNNNNNNNNNNNNNNNNNNNNNNNNNNNNNNNNNNNNNNNNNNNNNNNNNNNNNNNNNNNNNNNNNNNNNNNNNNNNNNNNNNNNNNNNNNNNNNNNNNNNNNNNNNNNNNNNNNNNNNNNNNNNNNNNNNNNNNNNNNNNNNNNNNNNNNNNNNNNNNNNNNNNNNNNNNNNNNNNNNNNNNNNNNNNNNNNNNNNNNNNNNNNNNNNNNNNNNNNNNNNNNNNNNNNNNNNNNNNNNNNNNNNNNNNNNNNNNNNNNNNNAAAAAUAAGUUUAAAAUUGUUAAUAUUAAUAAAGUUAGUAAUAAAAAUAUAAUUAUUAAAUAAUAAAAUUUUAUUGAUUUUGUUAUAAUGAAAUAACGAUAAAAAUUAUUCAAAAUAAUAAUUAUAUUGUAAUCAUAACCUAAAAAAUAAUGCAAAUGAUAAUUAUAUAGUCAUCAUUUACCUAAAAAGUAAGCUGGUAUAGGAUGGUGUUGUAGAUUGGUGUGUAUAAAUUAUCUACUUCUAUUUGAAUGCCUCUGUGGAAUGGAAAAAGACCGAAGGAGGCAAGAAUUAGCCAAUCAGGGCGUCUUAUGAAUCAUUAAUCGAAUCGACAUACUUGAUAGAUAUCUCCACCUCGACGUCGUGAAUCGACAUACCUCUGAUAAGGGGAUUCAAGAAUUACUCAAAUGAAUAGAACGCAUCUUUCCAACUCACUCUGUUCUCUCUUACAGUCGCAGUCGACUUCCCGGCUUCUAACCCCUAUUUCUCACAAACUCUCGCAUUUUCAUUAUGAUUCGCACUCUCGAUUCUCUAUGCUGAUUUCGAAUCUUUGCGACUUCCUUGAUAUCAGAUAAGAAUUUAAGAAGGUAUGAUUUUUCUUUUAGAUUUUUCGUUUCUGAAAGCUUAUAGCUUUGUGUAUCAGAUUUUUUUUUUUUCCUGAUUUUUGCUUCUCAUUCUAUGUUAUCAGAUUUUUUGUUUCUCAGAUUUCUGAAGUCUACUUAUUCAGAAAGUUCUGAUAAUCAAUGUUUUAAAUUUAAGAAUUUCCACUCAAUUAGGUAUUAUGUUUCUAGAUAUUUGUAUAUAAUUAUCUAAAGAAAAGUUUUAUCUUCCAAUUUUUCUACUGUUUUUAUUAUGACUUUAUUCUUUCAGAGUUCCAUAUCUCGUUUAACAAGCUAAUAUUGUAAUUUGAGGAGUUGUUUAUUAGAUUUUUUAUUUUAGUUUAGUUAUCAUUUUUAUGACUUUUAUUACAUAGUGGUUUUAUUUGACAGCUUGCAUUUGUAGAUGCAUCUCUACAACUGUAUAAAGAAGUUUAAAGAAGUUAGAAGUUUUCAAGAACUUAAAAUGACCUAGGUCAAAAGGCAUCUAUAGAGAGAAGUUUACCUUGAAGUUGUUCAAAGCUAGCUAAAGUUAUUGAAGAAACAUCUUAGGUGAAAGUUAUGUAUAGAUGUAUAGAGAAAGAUAUUGGCAAUAUUAUGUAUAGAGAAAAAAAAAUGUUAGAUUAAAUUGAUCUUGUUAGUUUUGUAUCUAAUAAAGCUAGAAAUUUAUUGUCUUUUGUAAAUAUUGGUGGUGUUUUUGUAAAUACUAUGACUAUAUUUCUGGUUUGGAUGAUAUUAUUGAUUAUUAUUAUAAAUGAUAUUUUUUUUGAAAUUUUUAUUAUAUUUGGCAUUGAGAUAUUUGACAUUGGGGUCAUUUUUUUCUUCUGUGUUUGGACUGGCCCUGUAUAUACUAUAUAUGAUCUAGGACUCCACAUAAGAUAAGUCAUAACUCAUAACUCAUAAGAUUCUUGUUAUUAAAUGAGUACAUUUUGUUUAAUAAUGAUUCAUGUUUGGUUUUUAGAGAACUAAUCAAACGAGUAGGAGACUCAUUUGUUCUGUGGCAACCAAAUCCAUGUCAGAAUCAGUUGGAGAAUCAAAAAUGGAGGGUCCUAAAGAGAUUUUCCUAAAAGAUUACAAAUUACCAGAUUACUACUUUGAUACAGUUUGUACUUUGUUCAACUAAAAUGCAUGUUAUUUUUUUAAAGUUUGCAUCUUUAUGGUUUUUUUGUUAAUGAUUUGUUAAUUCAGGUGGAUCUAAGCUUUUCAUUGGGUGAAGAAAAGACAAUUGUGUGUGCAAAAAUCAGAGUUGUCCCUAGAGUUGAUGGUAUAUAUGCUUUGUGAUUUUCAUUGACAUACACUUUUUUCUUUCCAAAAUAAGUCUAUUAACUUCUAAUAACAUAUAUUAAUUAAAUGAAAAGACCUUUAAUAGAGUCAAAGUUACGUUCUUUUCUUGAUUGUUUAGUGAAUGGAUGUUGUUUUGACUUGCGACAGGUGUCGCUGCUCCAUUGGCUUUGGAUGGGGUUGAUCUCAAGCUGAUUUCGGUUAGGAUUAAUGGUAUUGAACUGAAGGUAUGGAACACUAAAGUUUACAUUUGAUUUCCCAUUAAGUCCUUUCUUGAUAAAUGAUGUUUAUUUAUUUGAGAAAAUGAUGAUAAACUUUGGAAAUGCUACGAAAAGAUAAAUACAACAAAUUUCUGAAAAGUUGUACUUAAUAUUGAAAGCCUCAUUUCCUUGAGCUUCUUUAUUAAGUCGUUCUUUUUCAUAUUAAGUCAUGUCCACAUUAAGUUUAUCAAGUAAAAAAGAAACAACACCGAAGGCUAAACCUUACUUUUUUUUUUUUUAAAUUUCAGGAGGGAGAUUAUGAUAUAGAUGCUCGGCAUCUAAUUCUCAAAGCACCUCCAAGUGGGAGUUUUACCUUGGAAACUGUUACUGAAAUCUCACCACAACAUAACACAUCAUUAGAGGUAAAAAAAAUCUACUAUUUAUUUCUGUUCUCUACUUCUCUUUAGGGCUUUGGUAAAAUUUGAUUAAUGUUUGUAUUGUAGGGUCUUUACAAGUCGUCUGGUAAUUUCUGCACACAAUGUGAAGCAGAAGGUUUCAGAAAGAUAACUUAUUUUCAGGUUUGUUAUUUGAAGUGAUUAUUGAUAUUGAUUUGUUUUCUAGUUAUUCUUUCUCCCUUUUUUUUUUUAAAUAUUUUAUUAAUAUUAUUAUUUUGGUUUCAGGAUCGCCCUGAUAUUAUGGCAAAAUAUACUGUUCGUAUUGAGGCUGACAAGUCACUUUACCCUGUGUUAUUGUCCAAUGGAAACCUCAUUGAUCAAGGAGAUUUAGAGGUGAAACUUGUCUUCUUAUAUGUCUUAACAAAUCAAGUCAUUCUUUUUCUGCAUUAAGUAAGAGAUUAAGCUGUUGAUUGCAGGGUGGGAAGCAUUUUGCUGUUUGGGAGGAUCCAUUCAAGAAACCUUGUUAUCUUUUUGCAUUGGUUGCAGGAGAAUUAGAGAGCAGAGAUGACACUUUCAUAACAUGUUCGGGUCGAAAAGUUGAUUUAAGAAUAUGGACCCCACCACAAGAUCUCCC
RNAcentral lists this long non-coding RNA (43984 nucleotides) under Lactuca sativa (garden lettuce). Its description in RNAcentral is "long non-coding RNA (LSAT_LNC006750)". The record is from RNAcentral. Lineage: Eukaryota; Viridiplantae; Streptophyta; Magnoliopsida; Asterales; Asteraceae.